AUGAACCCAUCCUCGGCCCCCGGCCCGGAUGGUCUCCCAGUGAAGUUCUUCCAGACUUUCUAUGAGGUGAUCAAACCUGAGGUGGUGGCCUUAUUUGAUGAGUUCUUUUUUGGAUCCAUCGACCUCGCCCGGCUGAACUUUGGGGUAAUCACCCUCAUCCCCAAAGUGUCUGGGGCCUCGGAUAUCCGACAAUUCCGACCGAUUACGGUGAUUAACAUCAUCUUCCGCAUCCUCGCGAAGGGGUACACCAUAGUGACCCCUAUCGCCGACCGGAUCACUCACCCUGACCAGUCGGCCUUCAUCCAGGGCCGUUAUAUCCUCGACGGAGUCCUAGUGUUCCACGAAGCACUCCAUGACGUUCACACCAAACACCUCAGGGCAGUCUUCCUGAAAGACUUCCACAAGGCUUAUGACACGGUUAGUUGGCCCUUCCUUCGGGAAUGUCUGCUCUGUAAGGGCUUCGACGACAGGUGGGUGACCAGGGUGAUGCAAAGUGUUCCACGAAGCACUCCAUGA
RNAcentral lists this ribosomal RNA (516 nucleotides) under Triticum aestivum (bread wheat). RNAcentral's name for it is "partial small subunit ribosomal RNA". Lineage: Eukaryota; Viridiplantae; Streptophyta; Magnoliopsida; Poales; Poaceae. The record is from RNAcentral.